RNAcentral lists this ribosomal RNA (253 nucleotides) under uncultured bacterium. RNAcentral's name for it is "partial 16S ribosomal RNA". It matches the Rfam family "Bacterial small subunit ribosomal RNA", at positions 524 to 776 of the family's 1533-position model. The record is from RNAcentral.
UACGGAGGGUGCGAGCGUUGUUCGGAAUCACUGGGCGUAAAGGGCGUGUAGGCGGUCCGCUAAGUCUGAUGUGAAAGCCCGGGGCUCACCCCCGGAAGUGCAUUGGAAACUGGCGAACUCGAGUCCCGGAGAGGAGAGUGGAAUUCCUGGUGUAGCGGUGAAAUGCGCAGAUAUCAGGAGGAACACCGGUGGCGAAGGCGGCUUGCUGGGCCAGUUCUGACGCUGAGGAGCGAAAGCGUGGGGAGCGAACAGG